This 1052-nucleotide ribosomal RNA is filed under the name Thermotoga sp. enrichment culture. Its description in RNAcentral is "bacterial SSU rRNA". It matches the Rfam family "Bacterial small subunit ribosomal RNA", at positions 347 to 1381 of the family's 1533-position model. The record is from RNAcentral. Lineage: Bacteria; Thermotogati; Thermotogota; Thermotogae; Thermotogales; Thermotogaceae.
AGUAGCAGUGGGGGGAAUUUUGGACAAUGGGCGAAAGCCUGAUCCAGCGACGCGCGUGAGGACGAAGCCCUUUCGGGGUGUAAACUCUGUGUGAGGGACGAAUAAAGAUCUGGAGGGAAAUGCCAGAUCGAUGACGGUACCUCACGAGAAAGCCCCGGCUAACUACGUGCCAGCAGCCGCGGUAAUACGUAGGGGGGCGAGCGUUACCCGGAUUCACUGGGCGUAAAGGGGGCGCAGGCGAUCCAGUAUGUCGGGUGUGAAAUCCCACAGCUCAACUGUGGAAUUGCGCCCGAAACUACUGGGUUUGGGGCUGGUAGAGGGAGACGGAACUGCUGGUGUAGGGGUGAAAUCCGUAGAUAUCAGCAGGAACGCCGGUGGGGAAGCCGGUCUCCUGGGCCAAGCCCGACGCUGAGGCCCGAAAGCUAGGGGAGCAAACCGGAUUAGAUACCCGGGUAGUCCUAGCCGUAAACGAUGCCCACUAGGUGUGGGGGAGUCAUUCCUCCGUGCUGUAGCUAACGCGUUAAGUGGGCCGCCUGGGGAGUACGCCCGCAAGGGUGAAACUCAAAGGAAUUGGCGGGACCCCGCACAAGCGGUGGAGCGUGUGGUUUAAUUGGAUGCUAAGCCAAGAACCUUACCAGGGCUUGACAUGCAGGUGGUACCAACCCGAAAGGGAAGGGACCCUUUCCUUUUGGAAAGGGAGCCUGCACAGGUGGUGCACGGCCGUCGUCAGCUCGUGCCGUGAGGUGUUGGGUUAAGUCCCGCAACGAGCGCAACCCCUGCCCUUAGUUGCCAGCGGUUCGGCCGGGCACUCUAAGGGGACCGCCGGCGACGAGCCGGAGGAAGGAGGGGACGACGUCAGGUACUCGUGCCCUUUAUGCCCUGGGCUACACACGCGCUACAAUGGGUGGUACAGUGGGUCGCGACCUCACGAGAGGGAGCCAAUCCCCAAAACCAUCCUCAGUUCAGAUCGCAGGCUGCAACCCGCCUGCGUGAAGCCGGAAUCGCUAGUAAUCGCGGAUCAGCCAUGCCGCGGUGAAUACGUUCCCGGGGUU